Molecule: long non-coding RNA, 795 nt
Organism: Cercocebus atys (sooty mangabey)
Lineage: Eukaryota; Metazoa; Chordata; Mammalia; Primates; Cercopithecidae
Exons: 3
Source: RefSeq, a predicted model, not a curated record
AAAGUAGUCCCGCGCGCCCUCUGCCCUGACGCGGUGUGCGCGAGGUCCCCGAGUGAAAGGUUUUCAGGGGAUAAACCCUGACGGGGUCUGUGGCGGUCCUUGCCCAGCGCCUUCCACAUGUGGAGCGGGGCAGUGGUGCUAGUUCUGCCUCCAACUCUGGACGGUUGAGUUCAGGGCCACUUUUUACGCAGGCACGGAUGUGACAGAAACAUGGAGAAGGGUCUUGGAAGAACCACAUGUGCCGUAUAACGAACGACCUCUUGGUCUGAGGAGGACCGUGUAUAUGACGGUGGUCCCAUAAGAUGAUAACGGAGCUGGAAACUUCCUGUCCUCUGGUAGGCGGUACCAGUACAAACUGUUGCUGGAGUUUAUGGGAGCCCUAAGCGAGACCCCUCUUGCAUUUUGAAUCUCCUUGGCUUAGGUGAGAUUCAUACAUUGUUCAAAUGACCUGAUAUCAUACUCAAUGGGGCUGGAAUUGAAGUUCUACUUUAAAGCUUUAAGCUUUUGGUCACCUAAGAGGAGAAUACAAAUUAUAGGUGAUCAGCCAUCUAAAACAGAGACUUCCUUGCGGAGAGGUCCAUCUUUAGAGACUCCAGCUGGAUUCAUGUACGAUACUUAUGGUUCUACUUCCUGUCACUAUUCAGAAAAAAUUUUCUCUUGAAGAACUCACAAAGAACCAAAAUUGCAAUGGCCAAAGUAGGGUACUUUGAAAUGCCUAAACGAAUUUAUUUGUGUGCUCAAUUAGAAAAAUCUGGUUCCAGCUGGGCACGGUGGCUCACGCCUGUAAUCCCUGCA